Molecule: ribosomal RNA, 499 nt
Filed under: uncultured bacterium
Lineage: Bacteria
Description: partial 16S ribosomal RNA
Rfam family: Bacterial small subunit ribosomal RNA
Source: RNAcentral
GAUGAACGCUGGCGGCGUGCCUAAUACAUGCAAGUCGAGCGAACAGACGAGAGUGCUUGCACUCUCUGACGUUAGCGGCGGACGGGUGAGUAACACGUGGGUAACCUACCUAUAAGACUGGGAUAACUUCGGGAAACCGGAGCUAAUACCGGAUAAUAUUUAGCUUCGCAUGACGCAAUAGUGAAAGACGGUUCUGCUGUCACUUAUAGAUGGACCCGCGGUGUAUUAGCUGGUUGGUGAGGUAACGGCUCACCAAGGCAACGAUACAUAGCCGACCUGAGAGGGUGAUCGGCCACACUGGGACUGAGACACGGCCCAGACUCCUACGGGAGGCAGCAGUAGGGAAUCUUCCGCAAUGGACGAAAGUCUGACGGAGCAAAGCCGCGUGAGUGAAGAAGGUUUUCGGAUCGUAAAACUCUGUUGUAAGGGAAGAACAAGUACGUUAGUAACUGAACGUACCUUGACGGUACCUUACCAGAAAGCCACGGCUAACUACGUG